GAUGAACGCUGGCGGCGUGCCUAAUACAUGCAAGUCGAGCGAACGGACGAGAAGUUUGCUUCUCUGAUGUUAGCGGCGGACGGGUGAGUCCUACGUGGAUAACCUACCUCUAAGACUGGGGUACCUUCACGAAAUCGGAGCUACUACCGGAUAAUAUUUUGCACCGCAUGGUUCAAGCGUCAAAGACGGUCUUUCUUUCACUUAUAGAUGGAUCCGCGCUGCAUUAGCUAGUUGGUAAGGUAGCGGCUUACCAAGUCGACGGUGGAUAGCGGACCCGAGAGGGUGAAUGAGCACACGGGAACUGAGACACGUCCGCGACUCCUACGGGAGGCAGCAGUAGGGAAUCUUCCGCAAUGGGCGAAAGCCGGACGUUGCAACGCCGCGUGAGUGAUGAAGGUCUUCGGCUCGUAAAACUCUGUUAUUAGGGGAGAUCAAAUGUGUUAGUAACUGUGCACAUCUUGACGGUACCUAAUGAAAAAGCCACGGCUAACUACGUG
RNAcentral lists this ribosomal RNA (497 nucleotides) under uncultured bacterium. RNAcentral's name for it is "partial 16S ribosomal RNA". It matches the Rfam family "Bacterial small subunit ribosomal RNA", at positions 28 to 507 of the family's 1533-position model. The record is from RNAcentral.